This 278-nucleotide ribosomal RNA is filed under the name uncultured bacterium. RNAcentral describes it as "partial 16S ribosomal RNA". It matches the Rfam family "Bacterial small subunit ribosomal RNA", at positions 335 to 603 of the family's 1533-position model. The record is from RNAcentral.
ACUCCUACGGGAGGCAGCAGUGGGAAUAUUGCACAAUGGGGAAAGCCCAUCGAUGCAGCCAUGCCGCGUGUGUGAAGAAGGCCUUCGGGUUGUAAAGCACUUUCAGUAGGGAGGAAGGUAGUGUAGUUAACACCUGCACUAUUUGACGUUACCUACGAAGAAGAGCACCGGCUAACUCCGUGCCAGCAGCCGCGGUAAUACGGAGGGUGCGAGCGUUAAUCGGAAUUACUGGGCGUAAAGCGCAUGCAGGCGGCCUGUUAAGUCAGAUGUGAAAGCCC